CGGCAGGGAACUGUUUUUCCAGCUAAAAGCAGGAGCAGGGAUGAUCCCUCGGCUGCCUCUGGAAUCAGAAUUCCAUGGGAAUCCGAGCUUCCAUGGGAAUGGGAGCAGCUCCUCUGAACCCUCCAGGGGGCAAUUCCAGCUCAACGCCCGCGGUUUUGGGAAAAGCGGAAUUCCUGCAGCUCCACAGCCCCGCUGAGACAGGAUGGGGUCGGGAUGGGCUUGGAUUGGGAAUUCCUGCACAAUUCCCGGCCCUUUUCCCUGUGCCAGAGGGAUCCCACAGGCUCUGCCAGGGCUCCGCUCCCGGUUUUCUGCUGCGGAUGGGAAGAGAGAUCCCAAGGAAAGGGAAGGGUUGGGAAUGGGGAGGGAGAUCCCAGAAAAAGAGAAAGGUUGGGAAUGGGAAGGGAGAUCCCAAGGAAAGGGAAGGGUUGGGAAUGGGAAGGGAGAUCCCAGCCAAGGGGAAGGGUUGGGAAUGGCCGAGGAGCGGAGGCCGAGCCCGGCUCAGAUCCCGAUCCCGCUCUGCCACUUCCAGCGGUGGCAGCAGGUGACAGAGCCGCUCCCUCUGCCCGCAGAGGGGACACAGAGAGCCGGGAAUGCCAGGAAAAGCCUCAGCAGGGCAGGAUCGGGAUCCUCUGGCACAGGGAGCCAGGGCUGGAGCCGGGAGACGCUGCCCCAUGUCCCCGGCGCCACCCGAGGGACAUCCCAGGACAAUCCCAGGACAGGGAAUCUUGUCCUGAGCCAGCUCCCGUCACCGCAGGCUCGGGAUGAGCGGGCCGAGGAUGAGCCAUCCCCAUCGCGGCUUUUCCAGGGGCUCUGCCCGCAUCCAGGCUGCGGGAUCGGGGCUCCAGGGAGGGCAGGGCUGGCUCCUGGCUCGGCACCAGCGCCGCGUCCCGAGGAGGGGACAGGGAGGGGACAGGGAGGGGACACAGAGGGGACACAGGAGGGGACACAGGAGGGGACAGAGGUGGCUCCGGAGCUGCCGGCACAUCCAGCCUGGAGGAAGCGGAUCCCGGUGCCCAGGAGCGAUGGCAGCACCCACC
Molecule: long non-coding RNA, 1037 nt
Filed under: Parus major (Great Tit)
Lineage: Eukaryota; Metazoa; Chordata; Aves; Passeriformes; Paridae
Description: lncRNA (ENSPMJG00000017024.1)
Source: RNAcentral